RNAcentral lists this transfer RNA (86 nucleotides) under Engelhardtia mirabilis. RNAcentral's name for it is "Planctomycetes bacterium Pla133 tRNA-Arg". The record is from RNAcentral. Lineage: Bacteria; Pseudomonadati; Planctomycetota; Planctomycetia.
CACGCGCCUGGAGCGGGCUGAGGCCGGCUCGCGCUCCGAGCGCGAGGUGAUGCUGGUCGAGGCGCGUUCCGAGCGCGAGCGCCUGC